AGGGACGUCACUGAGUCAAUUAGAUCUGUGGUUUCUUCAUCUAAGUGGUGCAGUUCUUUGGAUAACGGAUAAUGAUUCAUAGUUUCCUGUUCACUUUUCACAAGGGGACAGAGAAGACAGAAAGGAAACCCUUUACACCAUGAUGCCAGCAAAUGCCUUUGUGGGUUUAAAGCUUAAUUCAGCAGCCUGGAUCAAGGGACGCUUGUUUGAAGCUCUGAGCAUGCAGAAAUCCUCACCCCACUCCACCCCCAGCCAGUACCUGUGGUAAGGGAUCCAGGUGCUCCAAACAGCCACUUUGGAACCAGAAGUCCCAUGAACAUGGUGAAGCCUACAAUGAAGAUAUUCCUGCCCGAAUCAAUAUCUGUGUAUUGGAAGUAGGAGACACCGGUGCCCACAGCUACACUGUAUGUUACGCAAAGCACUCCUCCUGAAGACAGCAUUGGCGAUCAAAGAUACCCCAUGAAUGAAAAAAGCAGAACAGAAUUCAUUUGAUGUUAGGACAGAGUAGUAGAAUAAAGAGUAAUUUUAGAUGGCCAUUUCCUGGUGCUACCAAGCAACAGGCAUUCUGCUUUUCCAUCUU
Pantherophis guttatus is the source of this 580-nucleotide non-coding RNA. Lineage: Eukaryota; Metazoa; Chordata; Lepidosauria; Squamata; Colubridae. The record is from RefSeq and is a predicted model, not a curated record.